RNAcentral lists this ribosomal RNA (95 nucleotides) under Pseudomonas aeruginosa. Lineage: Bacteria; Pseudomonadati; Pseudomonadota; Gammaproteobacteria; Pseudomonadales; Pseudomonadaceae. RNAcentral also lists the same sequence under 5 other names. The record is from RNAcentral.
GAACCACCUGAUCCCUUCCCGAACUCAGAAGUGAAACGACGCAUCGCCGAUGGUAGUGUGGGGUCUCCCCAUGUGAGAGUAGGUCAUCGUCAAGC